CCUACGGGGGGCAGCAGUGAGGAAUAUUGGACAAUGGGCGCAAGCCUGAUCCAGCCAUGCCGCGUGCAGGAUGACGGUCCUAUGGAUUGUAAACUGCUUUUGCACAGGAAGAAACAUCCCGACGUGUCGGGACUUGACGGUACUGUGAGAAUAAGGAUCGGCUAACUCCGUGCCAGCAGCCGCGGUAAUACGGAGGAUCCAAGCGUUAUCCGGAAUCAUUGGGUUUAAAGGGUCCGUAGGCGGUUUAGUAAGUCAGUGGUGAAAGCCCAUCGCUCAACGGUGGAACGGCCAUUGAUACUGCUAGACUUGAAUUAUUAGGAAGUAACUAGAAUAUGUAGUGUAGCGGUGAAAUGCUUAGAGAUUACAUGGAAUACCAAUUGCGAAGGCAGGUUACUACUAAUGGAUUGACGCUGAUGGACGAAAGCGUGGGUAGCGAACAGGAUUAGAUACCCGUGUAGUC
Molecule: ribosomal RNA, 460 nt
Filed under: uncultured bacterium
Lineage: Bacteria
Description: bacterial SSU rRNA
Rfam family: Bacterial small subunit ribosomal RNA
Source: RNAcentral